This 578-nucleotide ribosomal RNA is filed under the name Acinetobacter baumannii. Its description in RNAcentral is "partial 23S ribosomal RNA". It matches the Rfam family "Bacterial large subunit ribosomal RNA", at positions 692 to 1270 of the family's 2925-position model. Lineage: Bacteria; Pseudomonadati; Pseudomonadota; Gammaproteobacteria; Moraxellales; Moraxellaceae. The record is from RNAcentral.
GCGAAUUAGUAUCAUGACGUAGACCCGAAACCAUGUGACCUACCCAUGAGCAGGUUGAAGGUGCGGUAAGACGCACUGGAGGACCGAACCAGGGCACGUUGAAAAGUGCUUGGAUGACUUGUGGGUAGCGGAGAAAUUCCAAACGAACUUGGAGAUAGCUGGUUCUCUCCGAAAUAGCUUUAGGGCUAGCGUCGACAUAAAGAUUCUUGGAGGUAGAGCACUGUUUGGGUGAGGGGUCCAUCCCGGAUUACCAAUCUCAGAUAAACUCCGAAUGCCAAUGAAUUAUGGUCGGCAGUCAGACUGCGAGUGCUAAGAUCCGUAGUCGAAAGGGAAACAGCCCAGACCACCAGCUAAGGUCCCAAAAUAAUUGUUAAGUGGAAAAGGAUGUGGGGUUGCACAGACAACUAGGAUGUUAGCUUAGAAGCAGCUAUUCAUUCAAAGAGUGCGUAAUAGCUCACUAGUCGAGUGACCCUGCGCCGAAAAUGUACCGGGGCUAAAACAAUUUACCGAAGCUGUGGAUACCUUUAUAGGUAUGGUAGGAGAGCGUUCUAUGUGUGGAGAAGGUGUACCGUGAGGAG